GACGAACGCUGGCGGCGUGCCUAAUACAUGCAAGUCGAGCGGAACUGGGGGAGCUUGCUCCUUCCAGUUUAGCGGCGGACGGGUGAGUAACACGUGGGCAACCUGCCCUGCAGAUCGGGAUAACUCCGGGAAACCGGUGCUAAUACCGAAUAGUUUGGCGCCUCUCCUGAGGCGCUACGGAAAGACGGUUUCGGCUGUCACUGCAGGAUGGGCCCGCGGCGCAUUAGCUAGUUGGUGGGGUAACGGCCCACCAAGGCGACGCUGCGUAGCCGACCCGAGAGGGUGACCGGCCACACUGGGACUGAGACACGGCCCAGACUCCUACGGGAGGCAGCAGUAGGGAAUCUUCCGCAAUGGACGCAAGUCUGACGGAGGAACGCCGCGUGAGUGACGAAGGUUUUCGGAUCGUAAAACUCUGUUGUGAGGGAAGAACACGUACCAACUAACUAUUGGUACCUUGACGGUGCCUCACCAGAAAGCCACGGCUAACUACGUGCCAGCCGCCGCGGUAA
This 512-nucleotide ribosomal RNA is filed under the name uncultured bacterium. Its description in RNAcentral is "partial 16S ribosomal RNA". It matches the Rfam family "Bacterial small subunit ribosomal RNA", at positions 28 to 523 of the family's 1533-position model. The record is from RNAcentral.